AGGAUUUAUGUCCUCGACUUAAAUGCAAUUACUAAUAUAUAAUGGAUCGUAUUAUAGAGAUAAUAAGUUCGUUAUAUUGGGUCGUCUAUACGUCUUGCUAGAGAAAGCUAUAGAACUUCGGAUUAGUAAAUAAAUAAACCCGAAGCCCAAUGUAACGGAUCCUACAAGGUCACACAUUAAACUUGGAUCAACAAAAGAAACCUAGAGCCCAAGAGGGCCCUAGGGUGGCCGGCCAAGAGAGGAGAAAAGGAGAGAAUCUGACCUAAAUACUUUUAUAUAUUUGGGUUAGGCAGAAAAGAAAACAGUCAGUUUAUUCUCUUAUUAUUUUCUCUCUCCUAUUCUCUCUCUUCAAAAGUCACGUUAUACUCCAAGAAACCAAAGAAGAAGUUUUCUUCCUUUCCAACUAGCAUUGGUGGAGUGUUGAUCUGGGUUGGUGGACUAAGUAGAGGAAUCACAUCUGAGAUUCUCAAUCCGGGUUCUUCAAGCUUUGUGGAAAUCACGCUACAAAGAUAUCAUGUCUAAUAACAACAACAACAACUCCGGUUUCAACAUUCGUCCUUUUCUGGAAAAGGACAGACUGAAUGGUGAAAAUUUCCUUAAUUGGGAAAGGACCUUAAGACUCGUUCUGAGGUUUGAGGGUCGAGAGGACGUCUUAGAUACCCCGCUUCCUGUAAUAACUGAUGAAUCAA
Long non-coding RNA from Beta vulgaris subsp. vulgaris (sugar beet), 689 nucleotides. RefSeq lists it as uncharacterized. NCBI's taxonomy places the organism in Eukaryota, Viridiplantae, Streptophyta, Magnoliopsida, Caryophyllales, Amaranthaceae. The transcript is spliced from 2 exons. The record is from RefSeq and is a predicted model, not a curated record.